This 279-nucleotide ribosomal RNA is filed under the name uncultured bacterium. Its description in RNAcentral is "partial 16S ribosomal RNA". It matches the Rfam family "Bacterial small subunit ribosomal RNA", at positions 506 to 784 of the family's 1533-position model. The record is from RNAcentral.
UGCCAUCAGCCGCGGUAAUACGGAGGGUGCAAGCGUUGUUCGGAAUUAUUGGGCGUAAAGCGCGUGUAGGCGGUUCGUUAAGUCUGAUGUGAAAGCCCGGGGCUCAACCCCGGAACUGCAUCCGAAACUGCUUGGCUUGAGUACGGGAGAGGGAAGCGGAAUUCCCAGUGUAGAGGUGAAAUUCGUUGAUAUUGGGAGGAACACCCGUGGCGAAAGCGGCUUCCUGGCCCAGUACUGACGCUGAGACGCGAAAGCGUGGGGAGCAAACAGGAUUAGAUA